RNAcentral lists this ribosomal RNA (253 nucleotides) under uncultured bacterium. RNAcentral describes it as "partial 16S ribosomal RNA". It matches the Rfam family "Bacterial small subunit ribosomal RNA", at positions 524 to 776 of the family's 1533-position model. The record is from RNAcentral.
CACGUAGGUGGCAAGCGUUGUCCGGAUUUACUGGGCGUAAAGAGCGCGCAGGCGGUCGUUCAAGUCGCGUGUGAAAGCCCCCGGCUCAACUGGGGAGGGUCACGCGAUACUGAUCGGCUCGAAGGCAGGAGAGGGUAGUGGAAUUCCCGGUGUAGUGGUGAAAUGCGUAGAUAUCGGGAGGAACACCAGUGGCGAAGGCGGCUUUCUGGCCUGUUCUUGACGCUGAGGCGCGAAAGCUAGGGGAGCGAACGGG